GCGAGGAGGCCAGGCUUUGCAACCAUCUCCAUAAAGAAGGGGCAAGUUCGAGGACGGAAAGCCCACUCAAAGGGCGGGGGGCGGGGCCUGGCAAGAGGGGGUGUGGCCAGGAUCCCAGGCAGUAAAUUGUGAGGCGGGGUCUGGAUGGAAAGGCGGGGCCCGCUGAAAGAAGGCGACCCGAGUUCUACUUCCUAGUAAGGGACGUCUCUGGAGAGAUCCUGAGGUUUUUGAGGCCACCCAUGGGCCUUGGCCCCGCCCCCUACCCAUGGCUGGCAGAUUCGUGGCCCCACCCAUCUCGAAGCCCCUCGGCCCAGGAACCCAGGGGAAGCUGCUGCCCUAGCAAUCCUGACCCGGACGACAGAUAUUACAAUGCUCAGAGCCAGAGGAGUGGUGCCCGCCAAUGCCUGAGAGAAGUCACCUGAUGGAACCCAGCUCCAGUGGGGGGUGCCCGGUCACUCCAUCCCUAAGGGAAACCCCCUCUCCCACGCCUUCCUAUGGACAGCAGUCCACAGCCACUCUUACGCCCUCACCUCCUGACCCUCCCCAGCCCCCAACUGACAUGCCCCAUCUCCAUCAGAUGCCCAGGAGGGUGCCUCUUGGGCCGAGUUCCCCUCUCAGUGUAUCCCAGCCCAUGCUGGGCAUCCGUGAAGGGAGGCCUGCUGGCUUGGGUGCUGGCCCUGCAGCCUCACCCCACCUCAGCCCC
RNAcentral lists this small RNA (703 nucleotides) under Pongo abelii (Sumatran orangutan). RNAcentral's name for it is "processed transcript". The record is from RNAcentral. Lineage: Eukaryota; Metazoa; Chordata; Mammalia; Primates; Hominidae.